CUGGGAUUGUGGCUCAGUAGUAGAGCACUUGUCUAGCACAUGUGAGGUGCUGGGUUUGAUCCUCAGUACCACAUAAAAAUAAAUAAAUAAAAUAAAGGUAUUGUGUCCAUCUACAACUAAAAAAAAAAAUCAGAGGCCAAGGAUUUUUUUUGCUUUGUCAAUCUAUGAGAACAAGUCUCUGAGAGAGACAAAUAUCAGCGUACACAAACCACGCAGAUGCUUCUCUGUAAAAUGAGGUUCCUCGUGGUAGAGUUAGUUACAAGAAGGAGCAAAUAAUGAGAGGGUUGGGAUUUUUUCAGCCCCACCUACCAACAUCCAGGAAAGGGCAAUGGGGUAAGCAGUGCUGGAGAGUAAACUCUGUAGAAACUGUUGAGUCACAAGGUUUGAUGAGCUUUCAGAUUGCUGUACACAAUGAACUGCUGGAAGGGCAUUGUACCUAGAGGGAGUGUGCCAUCUCUGUGCCCUCCUUCAUCCCUUACCCUAUGUAUCUCUUUGUCUGCUCAUCUCUGUUCUUUAUAAACUGGUGAACAUUGUUUCUCUGAGUUCUAGGACCAUUCUAUCAAAAUAUAGAGGAGGAGGAGGUCAUGGGAACUCCUAGUUUAUACCAAGUUAGUCGGAAGCAUGUGAAGCUCAGAUUUAUGAUUGGUACCUGAAAUGGGGGCAGCCUUGUGGGAUCUGAUGCUGUCUCUAGGUGGAGUGUCAGAAUUGAGUUGAAUUAUAGAAUAUCCAGCUGGUGUCCAGGGAGUUGGAGAAUUGCUUGCUAUGGAGUGGGGGAAACAGAAC
Molecule: long non-coding RNA, 783 nt
Filed under: Marmota monax (woodchuck)
Lineage: Eukaryota; Metazoa; Chordata; Mammalia; Rodentia; Sciuridae
Source: RNAcentral